Transfer RNA from Camelus ferus (Wild Bactrian camel), 72 nucleotides. It matches the Rfam family "tRNA". Rfam says of the family: Transfer RNA (tRNA) molecules are approximately 80 nucleotides in length. Their secondary structure includes four short double-helical elements and three loops (D, anti-codon, and T loops). Further hydrogen bonds mediate the characteristic L-shaped molecular structure. tRNAs have two regions of fundamental functional importance: the anti-codon, which is responsible for specific mRNA codon recognition, and the 3' end, to which the tRNAs corresponding amino acid is attached (by aminoacyl-tRNA synthetases). tRNAs cope with the degeneracy of the genetic code in two manners: having more than one tRNA (with a specific anti-codon) for a particular amino acid; and 'wobble' base-pairing, i.e. permitting non-standard base-pairing at the 3rd anti-codon position. Lineage: Eukaryota; Metazoa; Chordata; Mammalia; Artiodactyla; Camelidae. The record is from Rfam.
GGUGGUAUAGCUCAGUGGUAGACCAUGUGCUUGCUGUGCACAGGAUUCUGGGUUCAAUCCGCAGUGUCUCCA